UACAGAGGGUGCGAGCGUUAAUCGGAAUUACUGGGCGUAAAGCGCACGUAGGUGGCGACGUAAGUCGGGUGUGAAAGCCCCGGGCUCAACCUGGGAAUUGCAUUCGAGACUGCAUUGCUGGAGUACGGAAGAGGAGGGCGGAAUUCCCGGUGUAGCGGUGAAAUGCGUAGAUAUCGGGAGGAACAUCAGUGGCGAAGGCGGCCUGCUGGGCGGCGACUGACGCUGAGGCGCGACAGCGUGGGGAGCAAACAGG
This 253-nucleotide ribosomal RNA is filed under the name uncultured bacterium. Its description in RNAcentral is "partial 16S ribosomal RNA". It matches the Rfam family "Bacterial small subunit ribosomal RNA", at positions 524 to 776 of the family's 1533-position model. The record is from RNAcentral.